UACGGAGGGUGCUAGCGUUGUUCGGAAUCACUGGGCGUAAAGCGCGUGUAGGCGGUUCGCUAAGUCUGGUGUGAAAGCCCGGGGCUCACCCCCGGAAGGGCACUGGAAACUGGCGGACUCGAGUCCCGGAGAGGAGGGUGGAAUUCCUGGUGUAGCGGUGAAAUGCGUAGAUAUCAGGAGGAACACCGGUGGCGAAGGCGGCCCUCUGGACGGUGACUGACGCUGAGACGCGAAAGCGUGGGGAGCAAACAGG
Molecule: ribosomal RNA, 253 nt
Filed under: uncultured bacterium
Lineage: Bacteria
Description: partial 16S ribosomal RNA
Rfam family: Bacterial small subunit ribosomal RNA
Source: RNAcentral